RNAcentral lists this ribosomal RNA (453 nucleotides) under uncultured Paraprevotella sp. RNAcentral's name for it is "partial 16S ribosomal RNA". It matches the Rfam family "Bacterial small subunit ribosomal RNA", at positions 341 to 792 of the family's 1533-position model. Lineage: Bacteria; Pseudomonadati; Bacteroidota; Bacteroidia; Bacteroidales; Prevotellaceae. The record is from RNAcentral.
ACGGAAGGCAGCAGUGGGGAAUAUUGGUCAAUGGGCGCGAGCCUGAACUAGCCAAGUAGCGUGAGGGAUGACUGCCCUACGGGUUGUAAACCUCUUUUGUUUGGGAAUAAAGGAGCCUACGUGUAGGCUUUUGCAUGUACCUUUCGAAUAAGCAUCGGCUAAUUCCGUGCCAGCAGCCGCGGUAAUACGGAAGAUGCGAGCGUUAUCCGGAUUUAUUGGGUUUAAAGGGAGCGUAGGCGGCCUUUUAAGUCUGCGGUCAAAUGUCAGGGCCCAACCUUGGCAUGCCGUGGAUACUGAUGGGCUUGAAUACACGCAAGGCAAGUGGAAUUCGUCGUGUAGCGGUGAAAUGCUUAGAUAUGACGAAGAACUCCGAUUGCGAAGGCAGCUUACUGGAGUGCGAUUGACGCUGAGGCUCGAAAGUGCGGGAAUCAAACAGGAUUAGAUACCCUGGUA